This 344-nucleotide ribosomal RNA is filed under the name Enterococcus casseliflavus. Its description in RNAcentral is "bacterial SSU rRNA". It matches the Rfam family "Bacterial small subunit ribosomal RNA", at positions 96 to 434 of the family's 1533-position model. Lineage: Bacteria; Bacillati; Bacillota; Bacilli; Lactobacillales; Enterococcaceae. The record is from RNAcentral.
UGGCGAACGGGUGAGUAACACGUGGGUAACCUGCCCAUCAGAAGGGGAUAACACUUGGAAACAGGUGCUAAUACCGUAUAACACUAUUUUCCGCAUGGAAGAAAGUUGAAAGGCGCUUUUGCGUCACUGAUGGAUGGACCCGCGGUGCAUUAGCUAGUUGGUGAGGUAACGGCUCACCAAGGCAACGAUGCAUAGCCGACCUGAGAGGGUGAUCGGCCACACUGGGACUGAGACACGGCCCAGACUCCUACGGGAGGCAGCAGUAGGGAAUCUUCGGCAAUGGACGAAAGUCUGACCGAGCAACGCCGCGUGAGUGAAGAAGGUUUUCGGAUCGUAAAAACUCU